This 284-nucleotide long non-coding RNA is filed under the name Marmota monax (woodchuck). The record is from RNAcentral. Lineage: Eukaryota; Metazoa; Chordata; Mammalia; Rodentia; Sciuridae.
GGCUUUUAAACAACGUGUCUUUUCCAGAUUCUUGGAAGAAACUGAUUUUGACCAAUUCAUCAAAGGAGCCGACUACAAAAUAUGAUUCUUCCCUUGAACUGGUGUCUAUGGAGGUGUCUGCCCUGCCCCAGGAACCGUGUGAAGACACAAAGGCACAGGGACUUCCUGACAAGGGGCCAGGCAACAUCAACCUGAGCAGAGCCGCAUUGGGGAACAGAGUUUCUUCACUGGACACAACAUAACUGAGGACCUACUGUGUGCCAGGAAGAGGACUGCAAGCUGCC